Pelobates cultripes (western spadefoot toad) is the source of this 225-nucleotide non-coding RNA. The record is from the annotation of a GenBank genome assembly. NCBI's taxonomy places the organism in Eukaryota, Metazoa, Chordata, Amphibia, Anura, Pelobatidae.
CAUUAGACCAGUCUGCAGCCCGCUACAGAAGCUUUGGAAGCCAUGGCACCUCUGACGGAGUUUGCUGAAAACAGGGAGGUAUCCACUGCCUCCAUUGCCAUUACGUCACGUAUCCAACGAGCUAGUGAACUGGUAUGCACCGGAAGGGUGCGGUCUCGGAAAUGAAAUGAAGAGCUGGUGAUAACCAUCGGAGUGAAUGGAGCGUGUUUGUUCCAAGUAGGAUUU